Molecule: ribosomal RNA, 946 nt
Filed under: uncultured bacterium
Lineage: Bacteria
Also listed under: 1 other name
Description: bacterial SSU rRNA
Rfam family: Bacterial small subunit ribosomal RNA
Source: RNAcentral
UGGAUCCAGAACUUUGAUUAUGGCUCAGGACGAACGCUGGCGGCGUGCUUAACACAUGCAAGUCGUACGAGACGAUUGAAAGCUUGCUUUUGAAAGUCGAGUGGCAAACGGGUGAGUAACGCGUAGACAACCUGCCGUAAAGAUGGGGACAACAGUCCGAAAGGACUGCUAAUACCGAAUGUUGUGGAACUUCCGCAUGGGAGCUCCACUAAAGAUGGCCUCUACUUGUAAGCUAUCGCUUUACGAUGGGUCUGCGUCUGAUUAGCUAGUUGGUGGGGCAACGGCCUACCAAGGCGACGAUCAGUAGCCGGUCUGAGAGGAUGAACGGCCACAUUGGAACUGAGACACGGUCCAGACUCCUACGGGAGGCAGCAGUGGGGAAUCUUCCGCAAUGGGCGCAAGCCUGACGGAGCAACGCCGCGUGAGUGAAGAAGGGUUUCGACUCGUAAAGCUCUGUUGUCGGGGACGAACGUGGAGAUGGUGAAUAACCAUUUCCAAUGACGGUACCUGACGAGGAAGCCACGGCUAACUACGUGCCAGCAGCCGCGGUAAUACGUAGGUGGCGAGCGUUGUCCGGAAUUAUUGGGCGUAAAGGGAGCGCAGGCGGGAGAUCAAGUCUAUCUUAAAAGUGCGGGGCUCAACCCCGUGAGGGGAUGGAAACUGGUCUUCUUGAGUGCAGGAGAGGAAAGCGGAAUUCCUAGUGUAGCGGUGAAAUGCGUAGAUAUUAGGAGGAACACCAGUGGCGAAGGCGGCUUUCUGGACUGUAACUGACGCUGAGGCUCGAAAGCGUGGGGAGCGAACAGGAUUAGAUACCCUGGUAGUCCACGCCGUAAACGAUGAAUGCUAGGUGUAGGAGGUAUCGACCCCUCCUGUGCCGGAGUUAACGCAAUAAGCAUUCCGCCUGGGGAGUACGGCCGCAAGGCUGCAACUCAAAUGAAUUGACGGA